RNAcentral lists this ribosomal RNA (480 nucleotides) under uncultured Legionellales bacterium. Its description in RNAcentral is "bacterial SSU rRNA". It matches the Rfam family "Bacterial small subunit ribosomal RNA", at positions 570 to 1050 of the family's 1533-position model. Lineage: Bacteria; Pseudomonadati; Pseudomonadota; Gammaproteobacteria; Legionellales. The record is from RNAcentral.
CGUAGGUUGUUAUUUAUGUCUCAUGUGAAAGUCAAUGGCUCAACCAUUGAAAGCCAUGAGAAACUGGAUAACUAGAGUACUGUAGAGGGUAGUGGAAUUUCUGGUGUAGCGGUGAAAUGCGUAGAUAUCAGAAGGAACAUCAGUGGCGAAGGCGACUACCUGGACAGAUACUGACACUGAGGCACGAAAGCGUGGGUAGCGAACAGGAUUAGAUACCCUGGUAGUCCACGCUGUAAACGAUGAGUAUUAGCUGUUAAUAAUGAGAGUUAUUAGCGGCGCAGCAAACGCGUUAAAUACUCCGCCUGGGGAGUACGGCCGCAAGGUUAAAACUCAAAGGAAUUGACGGGGGCCCGCACAAGCGGUGGAGCAUGUGGUUUAAUUCGAUGCAACGCGAAGAACCUUACCUACCCUUGACAUCCUAGGAAGAUGCUAGAGAUAGCAUUGUGCCUUCGGGAACCUAGAGACAGGUGCUGCAUGGCU